AUGGCUCAGGACGAACGCUGGCGGCGUGCCUAAUACAUGCAAGUCGAGCGGACAGAUAAGGAGCUUGCUCCUUGACGUUAGCGGCGGACGGGCGAGUAACACGUGGGCAACCUGCCCCUUAGACUGGGAUAACUCCGGGAAACCGGAGCUAAUACCGGAUAAUCCCUUUCUCCACCUGGAGAGAGGGUGAAAGAUGGCUUCGGCUAUCACUAAGGGAUGGGCCCGCGGCGCAUUAGCUAGUUGGUAAGGUAACGGCUUACCAAGGCAACGAUGCGUAGCCGACCUGAGAGGGUGAUCGGCCACACUGGGACUGAGACACGGCCCAGACUCCUACGGGAGGCAGCAGUAGGGAAUCUUCCGCAAUGGACGAAAGUCUGACGGAGCAACGCCGCGUGAGUGAGGAAGGCCUUCGGGUCGUAAAGCUCUGUUGUGAGGGAAGAAGCGGUACCGUUCGAAUAGGGCGGUACCUUGACGGUGCCUCACCAGAAAGCCACGGCUAACUACGUGCCAGCAGCAGC
RNAcentral lists this ribosomal RNA (518 nucleotides) under uncultured bacterium. Its description in RNAcentral is "bacterial SSU rRNA". It matches the Rfam family "Bacterial small subunit ribosomal RNA", at positions 19 to 518 of the family's 1533-position model. The record is from RNAcentral.